RNAcentral lists this ribosomal RNA (468 nucleotides) under uncultured bacterium. RNAcentral describes it as "partial 16S ribosomal RNA". It matches the Rfam family "Bacterial small subunit ribosomal RNA", at positions 28 to 507 of the family's 1533-position model. The record is from RNAcentral.
GACGAACGCUGGCGGCGUGCUUAACACAUGCAAGUCGAACGGAAAGGCCCUGCUUUUGUGGGGUGCUCGAGUGGCGAACGGGUGAGUAACACGUGAGUAACCUGCCCUUGACUUUGGGAUAACUUCAGGAAACUGGGGCUAAUACCGGAUAGGAGCUCCUGCUGCAUGGUGGGGGUUGGAAAGUUUCGGCGGUUGGGGAUGGUCUCGCGGCUUAUCCGUUUGUUGGUGGGGUAGUGGCUUACCAAGGCUUUGACGGGUAGCCGGCCUGAGAGGGUGACCGGCCACUUGGGGACUGAGAUACGGCCCAGACUCCAACGGGAGGCAGCAGGGGGGAUUAUUGCACAAUGGGCGGAAGCCUGAGCCAGCAACGCCGCGUGCGGGAUAACGGCCUUCGGGUUUAAAACCGCUUUCGCCGGUAACGAAGCGUGUGUGACGGUAAUUGGUAAAGAAGCACCGGCUAACUACGUG